GAGUCAUUUUACGUGGUAGUGUGUGUGUGCUUGGCCUUGCGCAGUUUUAAACUAUGUCUCUUGGUUUACAAUGGUCACAGGACCAAAUACUUCUGUUCCUAGAAACACUACAGUCAGAGCCGGUUAUCUGGGACCCAAGCAACAGGGGACAUAAGGAUAGAAAGUCAUUGAAUGAUGCUUGGGCGCGCAUUUCAGACACUUUUGGAGUUUCGGUACCUUUGUUAAAGAGAAAGAAGGAGUCGCUCAAUGCGACUUACCGGGCCUACCGCAGGAAGGUGGAAUCAUCAAUGAAAUCUGGUGACAACGACGACUUUGUUUACCGUCCAACAUGGUUCGCUUACGAGUAUAUGGACAGCUUUUUGGGGCAGGUGUACAAUAAGCAAAUCAAAACGGAUCAACGUGAUGAAACCGAAAAAAGUAUAGAAGAAAUAGCAGAAGAAAGAGAAAACAGUCCACCUCCGAGAACCGAUCCAUUACGAAUUAGGAAAAUCAUCAAGCGUCCAAUUAUCCAUCUUAAACCAUCUGCAUCUGUAUCAUCUACACCUAACCCCGAUCUCCAAAUCGCUAGCAGACAAAUGACUGAAGCGUUUAACAAUCUGAAUAAAAUCAUAAAAAGUACACAAGGAAAAACUGACCCUGCGACGACUGAAGACGAGUACGACGUGUUCGGGAAAUUUAUCGCCAAAAAGCUAAGAAAGUUGCCUGAGCAUGAGAGAGAGGAUUUGAUGUGUGAUAUCCACGCCUUAUUCCGAAGAUCACACUACGAUCGGUCUAUGGACCAAGACCACGUUGUUGUGGUCCAGGAAUCGGAAGAAAUAUUGUAGGAUCAAAGGUGCUAGUGCUCGACGAUAGGAGAAAGGUCGCGGGACGCUUGGGGAGGCCUUUUUGCCACUGAUUACUGACUAAUUAGAAUAAAUAUCCUUGUUGAUUAUUUUUAAUAAAUGUGUAAAUUUUAA
Molecule: long non-coding RNA, 956 nt
Organism: Ostrinia nubilalis (European corn borer)
Lineage: Eukaryota; Metazoa; Arthropoda; Insecta; Lepidoptera; Crambidae
Exons: 2
Source: RefSeq, a predicted model, not a curated record